GGUGAAAUGGCUGAGGCUAUAGGCGGUAAAUUGUAAAUUUACAUAGGAAUUAUUUCUUUCACCA
RNAcentral lists this transfer RNA (64 nucleotides) under Luprops yunnanus. RNAcentral's name for it is "tRNA-Tyr". The record is from RNAcentral. Lineage: Eukaryota; Metazoa; Arthropoda; Insecta; Coleoptera; Tenebrionidae.